This is a long non-coding RNA of Oreochromis aureus, 259 nucleotides long. RefSeq lists it as uncharacterized. NCBI's taxonomy places the organism in Eukaryota, Metazoa, Chordata, Actinopteri, Cichliformes, Cichlidae. The record is from RefSeq and is a predicted model, not a curated record. The transcript has 3 exons.
CAAGCCCAGACCCCCAAACAGUCCAGGAGAUGGCUUUUCCCCUCUCCAAAACAAUGACAUGACUGUAGAGGUCCUUUAUAAUUGGAGCUACAUUCACCCUGCGGGGAUCAAGCAGGACUCAUGAUCUUCACCAGCAGCUCCCUCAAAGGUUCAAACAGCGUGGUCUUUUUCUCAAGUGAAACUGAAUUCGUCCUGUCUGGGAAAACACAGGUUACCCCUGGAAUGUCCUUUUAUCAAAAAACAUUUGUUGACUUUUCAC